UACGGAGGGCGCAAGCGUUAAUCGGAAUCACUGGGCGUAAAGCGUGCGUAGGCUGUUUGGUAAGUCAGACGUGAAAUCCCUCGGCUCAACCGGGGAACUGCGUUUGAUACUGCCGAACUCGAGUCCUGGAGAGGGUGGCGGAAUUCCUGGUGUAGGAGUGAAAUCCGUAGAUAUCAGGAGGAACACCGGUGGCGAAGGCGGCCACCUGGACAGGUACUGACGCUGAGGCGCGAAAGCUAGGGGAG
This 245-nucleotide ribosomal RNA is filed under the name uncultured Desulfovibrio sp. RNAcentral describes it as "partial 16S ribosomal RNA". It matches the Rfam family "Bacterial small subunit ribosomal RNA", at positions 524 to 768 of the family's 1533-position model. The record is from RNAcentral. Lineage: Bacteria; Pseudomonadati; Thermodesulfobacteriota; Desulfovibrionia; Desulfovibrionales; Desulfovibrionaceae.